This is a long non-coding RNA of Rosa chinensis, 1290 nucleotides long. RefSeq lists it as uncharacterized. The transcript has 3 exons. The record is from RefSeq and is a predicted model, not a curated record. NCBI's taxonomy places the organism in Eukaryota, Viridiplantae, Streptophyta, Magnoliopsida, Rosales, Rosaceae.
UCUGGUAAAGGCCCUGCAGUAGGCGUACUCCGCAUCUCAGGUAACUCGAAUAAGCUCUGUCCCUUUUUUUUGGGGAAUAUCUCUAGCAGUCUAAGAUGGAGAUCGAACUGGAGACAGAAAUCGGCUGUCAGAGUUCAAAACGGAGAAGGAGUUGUGCUAUAGAUGGAUUGAUCUCAAUGUCCAGAUUCUGCACUAGAUUUUCUGCGUUUGAGAUUGGAUCUGCUGCUGCGGGUUUAUUUCCAAUUACGGUACUUGGUCUAUUAGUCGUAUGCAGGAACGAAAAGCAGGUGCAAUUCUUCUUCUGGUAAUAGACUGGUACGACCCUUCUAUGAAUGGCACGAUCGAUCAAAUAUGCUUUUAGACCACCGUUUCAGGUUUCCAUUAUUUCACCACCGCCAAGCUUUGUCAUGCAAUUUUGUUUGAAACGUGGUCGUAAAGGAUGAGACUUUGAGAGACAGACUUUUGUUCGUCUCAGUUUCUAUUUGCUGACUUUGACAUUGGCUUCAAGGAAUAUUUGUGUGAUGGUCAUGACCAUCCAUGACUUUGGCUGUUCGUGAACAACCUCCGUUAAAGCGAUAACAACGUCAUCCUUUGGGGGAAUUUAGCAUUGAAGCUGGGCUGUUCAUGAACAACCAAAUAUUUCAAUGCGUUAAGCCUGCAUCACCAUUUGGGAGGGAUUUUGAGCAUGAAACUCGGCUGUUCAUGAACAAACGCUCUUGUUUCAAUGCUUCAGGCCUCGGAGCAUUUGGGAGCAGCAAGAACAUCAUUUUGAUGAGCUUAGGAGAACUCUAAUAAUUGUGGUCGUUCAUGAACGGCCUAUUAGAGUUUUGGAGGGCCACAAGACAUAUGAGGAUUACUUGGAGAAGGUUGUAUCACAGGGAAGGCAGACUUGUUUUUCCUGUCAUUGACAUCAUAUGGGCAAUUUUGUCUAUGAAAAAUUAACCAUAAUGUAGCCUUAUACCUGCAGACUUUCUUCCUCUUUCUCUUGUAACUAAACGUAGCUUCUCUGCGUAGUUGUACCUCUUUUUCCUCUUUCCGCUCUCUGUAUUUCUGCUCUGUAACUUUUUCCUCCUCUGCUGCGUGUAUCUUUUAUAUUUCUCCCCUCUCUCCUCUCUUGCUUUGUUGCGUCUUUUCUCCUCUCCGUGUGUCUCUCCGUGUCUCUCUGUGUAUUUCUCUUCGGUGUUGCAGCCUAUACAUAGUGGUCAUGGGAUAGGCGUAACCGGAUAGUGAUAAUCACUUUGUAUUUUGCAUUUGAAUUUGAAUAACAAGUCUUAUCUUUAUCACUUGUUA